GCCGGCAGCCAUAUCACCCUGCAACUCACAACUGGCAACCCGCUGAAGCUCAGCAGGUGUGAGCCUGGUCAGUACCUGGAUGGGAGACCUCCUGGGACAAACUAAGGUUGCUGCUGGAA
Molecule: ribosomal RNA, 119 nt
Organism: Lepisosteus oculatus (spotted gar)
Lineage: Eukaryota; Metazoa; Chordata; Actinopteri; Semionotiformes; Lepisosteidae
Source: Ensembl